UCUGCAGCUUCGCUCCUGAAGUCAGAGAGACCACGAACCCACCGGGAGGAACAAACAACUCUGGACGCACCACCUUUAAGAGCUGUAACACUCACUGCGAAGGUCUGCGGCUUCACUCCUGAAGUCAAGCAAGACCACAAACCCACCGGAAGGAAAAAACUCCAGACACAUCUGAACAUCUGAAGGAACAAACUCCAGACGUACCAUCUGUAAGAACUGUAACACUUACCGCGAGGGUCCGCGGCUUCAUUCUUGAAGUCAGCCAGACCAAGAACCCACCGGAAGGAACCAAUUCUGGACACAGUAUGGUUGGUCCACAAGAGAGGUGAAAUUUGGAUGCAGAGACAAGCAUGCAGGGAGAACGUCAUGUGAAGAUUUGAGUUAUGCUGCCAAAAGACAAGGACCUACCAGAAGCUGGAAGAGAAGCCUGGAACAGAUCCUUCCCCAGAGACUUCAGAGGGAACAGGACCCUCCCAGCACAUUGAUCUUGGACGUGUAGUCUCCAGAACUAUGAGACAAUAAAUAUCAGUUGUUUAAGCC
RNAcentral lists this long non-coding RNA (540 nucleotides) under Pan troglodytes (chimpanzee). Its description in RNAcentral is "lincRNA". The record is from RNAcentral. Lineage: Eukaryota; Metazoa; Chordata; Mammalia; Primates; Hominidae.